Molecule: unclassified non-coding RNA, 637 nt
Filed under: Hevea brasiliensis (rubber tree)
Lineage: Eukaryota; Viridiplantae; Streptophyta; Magnoliopsida; Malpighiales; Euphorbiaceae
Source: RNAcentral
UAAAAAAAAUGGAUUACCUUUUGGCCAUGUAUAAUCUAAUGUAAACCCUGUUUAUUUACAUAAGCUACAAAGGCAGGCAAACAACUGUAACUCGAUUUAGUUUCUUCUAGGCACCAGGGCCUGUAACACCUGCCCGAANNNNNNNNNNNNCUUGCUUUGUUCCAUUACCUCCACAAGCCACUCCACACUUUCUUUAAUCCCCAUCCCGUCAUAUGCUGAAACUGCAUCCAACAUGUAAGCCCUCUCCCUCUCAUCCAACUUCUUAAGAUCUAAAUAUUGAGCAACUUCUUCAGCUGAUACGGCUUCAGAAAGAUCCUGCUUGUUUGCUAAUAUCAAAAGGGGGGCUCCUUGCAAAUCCUCAUGCCUCAGAACUUUUUCUAAUGCUGACUUUGAAUCUUCAAAACGAGAAGGACAAGUAGCAUCGAUUCCGUAUACAACAGCAUGAGCCUCUUCGUAAUAUUUCUCCCAAAUCGAGCGAAGACCAGGCUGACCACCCAGGUCCCAGAAUACAAGUUUUGUAUUUGAUACUUCAAUGCGACCAAUGUUAAGUCCAACAGUAGGAACAAUUCGAUCAGGAGGGAGGCCUUCUAAGUUUGAGAACAAUGAUUUCAAUUUCUCCAACAAAGUCGUUUUUCCC